This 253-nucleotide ribosomal RNA is filed under the name uncultured bacterium. RNAcentral's name for it is "partial 16S ribosomal RNA". It matches the Rfam family "Bacterial small subunit ribosomal RNA", at positions 524 to 776 of the family's 1533-position model. The record is from RNAcentral.
UACGUAGGUGGCAAGCGUUGUCCGGAUUUACUGGGCGUAAAGAGCGCGCAGGCGGUCGUUCAAGUCGCGUGUGAAAGCCCCCGGCUCAACUGGGGAGGGUCAUUCGAUACUGAUCGACUGGAAGGCAGGAGAGGGAAGCGGAAUUCCCGGUGUAGUGGUGAAAUGCGUAGAUAUCGGGAGGAACACCAGUGGCGAAGGCGGCUUCCUGGCCUGUUCUUGACGCUGAGGCGCGAAAGCUAGGGGAGCAAACGGG